CCUACGGGUGGCAGCAGUGAGGAAUAUUGGUCAAUGGACGCAAGUCUGAACCAGCCAUGCCGCGUGCAGGAAGAAGGCUCUAUGAGUUGUAAACUGCUUUUGUACGAGGGUAAACGCAGAUACGCGUACCUGUCUGAAAGUAUCGUACGAAUAAGGAUCGGCUAACUCCGUGCCAGCAGCCGCGGUAAUACGGAGGAUUCAAGCGUUAUCCGGAUUUAUUGGGUUUAAAGGGUGCGUAGGCGGUCGGAUAAGUUAGAGGUGAAAUCCCGAGGCUCAACUUCGGAAUUGCAUCUGAUACUGGUCGGCUAGAGAGUAGUUGCGGUAGGCGGAAUGGAGGGUGUAGCGGUGAAAUGCUUAGAGAUCAUACAGAACACCGAUUGCGAAGGCAGCCUACCAAGCUACUUCUGACGUUGAGGCACGAAAGCGUGGGUAGCAAACAGGAUUAGAUACCCGAGUAGUC
This 460-nucleotide ribosomal RNA is filed under the name uncultured bacterium. Its description in RNAcentral is "partial 16S ribosomal RNA". It matches the Rfam family "Bacterial small subunit ribosomal RNA", at positions 338 to 795 of the family's 1533-position model. The record is from RNAcentral.